Molecule: antisense RNA, 3746 nt
Filed under: Ovis aries (sheep)
Lineage: Eukaryota; Metazoa; Chordata; Mammalia; Artiodactyla; Bovidae
Description: partial retrotransposon-like 1 antisense RNA
Rfam family: mir-127 microRNA precursor family (bases 1968-2064)
Source: RNAcentral
GUCCUGCGCGUCCUGCGAGGUGUCUUGCAGGCCGUCAUGCAGGCCACACUGACGGAAACGUUGCAGGUCGUCUUGCAGGGCGUCUCGCAAGACGACACAAUCAUCGCCCUCGACAUGCGGCACCAGGCGUGGGCUCGGGUGGGUCUGGGUGCCCUCGAGGGCAGGGCCCCCGAUGCCGAAGAACUGGCACAGCAUCUGCCAGAAACUGGGCGUGAUCCGCAAGCCAUGCAGGGAGUGGAGCUGCCAGGGCCUGGGGCCCAGGAACAGCUCGGCCAGCUCCUCGGGCGGGAGGGCAUUGGCACCUACGAGAGGUGGCAUCUGGGUGAACAGCUGGGUGACAGCGCUGGCGAUGCCGCUGCUGGUGAGGAGGGACGCGUCCAGGAAGAGGCGUAGAGAGCGCUGUGGGGGCGGCCGGGCUGGGUCCGCGGCAGGCGCGGGCAGCAGGGCCAGGCGCCUCCUGAACCGCAGCAUCACGAGGAGCGCGGCCAUGGCCAGGAGGUUCUUCCAGAGCAGGAGGCUUCGGUAGAAGUGCAGCAUGACUGCCCUGAUCUGGGCCAUGCUGAAGUGGGCCAGGAAGCUGUUGAAUAUCUGGUCCACGGGUAUCAGCGCCAGGAGCCCGUGCUGGAGGUUCUGCCCGUUGGGCUCGUCUGGGUGAAGGGCAUCUUCACUCUCCUCUUCGUUUUCUGAUUCUGGGGACUGACCCCCAGGGGGGCCCCGCAUGGUGACAAGCAUCGUUGGCCUGGUGGUGGUGGCGGCCUGGCUCUGCUGGGCCCUCUUGCGGAGCCUCUGCCGGCGGGGCAGGGGCUGGGCGUCCUCCGAUGUCGGCAUCUCCUUGACGUCAAAGUUGAAGUGGGCGAAGAAGAAGACCCAGUGGCCGGGGAGAAGUACGGUGAGCCUGUCAUUGUUCAGAGAGGCUAGAUCCUCCUUGUUGAGAAGGAUCAUGAUGGGCUCCUCGGUGUUCUCCAGGUAGCGGCACCACACCAUGAAGGCAGCCCGGAUUGGAAGGAUCUUCAUCUCCGCCAGCGAGGCCUCCACCUCCAUCGGGGAGAUGUUGCGGGAGUAGAAAGCGCAGCACGCUUUCUUGCCAGUCCGCUUGUCCAUUUGGAUCAGGCUGGCGUACAGGGACGUCUUGGUGACGCCCGUCUGCAAGUAGAACUGGUUCUGGGGCUUGGGGUGGUAGAGGAGGGGCGCCUUGCGGAAUGCCCGCUUCAGGCCCACGAAGGCCUCCUGCUCCUUGUCACCCCAGUCGAAAGGCUGGUCGGCCCGGAGCUGCCGCACCAGGGGCUCUGUGAUGUCGGCGAACCGUUCCACGAAGUGCCGGUAGGGGAAGGCGAAUUCCAUGAGGUUUCGCAGGGACUUCCUCGAGCCUGGGGUGGGGUACCCUGUGAUCGUGCUGACGAUGCUCUUGUUGAGCCUCACCCCCUUGGGGGUCACGACGAAGCCCAGGAACUCGGCAGUGUGCCGGUGGAACUGGCUUCUCUGCAGGGAGCAGUAGACGUGGUGGUAGCGGAAGCGGACCAGAACCUGGCGCACGUGGUGGUAAUGCUCCUCCUGGCUCAUGGAGUAGACCAGGACGUCCUGCCCGUAGGAGAUGACAAAGAGGCCGAUCAUGUCCUUUAGGAUGAAGUGGAUCACGCCCUGGGGGAUGAUAGGGUCUGCACAGAUCAGGAAGGGCUGGUAGCUCGCCAUCUCUUGGAGCUCCAAACCGAAUGCCACUUUCCAUACGUCUUCUGUCUGGUGUAUGUCCAUGCUUUCCUCCACGAUGGUCCCACGCAGCUCCAGCUUGGUGAACCAUGUAGCUCCGUGUAACUGGUCGAACAGUUCUGGAAUCAUCUGUAUGUAGUCAUGCCUGCUGGUCAGCAUGUCCUGCAGGUCCCAGAAUUCCUCCUGCUUGGCUUUUUCUUGCACCCCGGCAUCCACAGGUUCCCACGGCGCGGUGGAGGCGCAGUCGUAAAAGGUCUCCUCGCUUUGAUCACUGUCUCCAGCCUGCUGAAGCUCAGAGGGCUCUGAUUCAGAAAGAUCAUCGGAUCCGUCUGAGCUUGGCUGGUCGGAAGUCUCCUCAUCUGCUUCCUUCGGGUUAAACACGUCGGCCAGGUCGGAGUACUGGUGUGGCAAUCCGGGCAGUAGGCUUACGGCAUGGUGUUCCAGAGCAAUGCAUGGUGGGGGCGGGCGGAAGCAAUUCUUCAGGCAGUAGGGAGAGUGGAAGGUGCAGCGGCCUUUGACCCAGUCGAUGUCGGGGGCGUGGAGCUGGAGCCACUUGAUGCCUAGAAUCACGGAGAAUUUGGAUGAAGCAACGAUGUCAAAUUCCAGGGACUCCUGGUGGUUCUGGUGCAAACACACCAGGGGUUCGGUGUAGAGCCAGACGGGUUCGUUGCCGACCAGCGAGCCGUCCGCGGUCUGGACCAACUCUGCGUAGGGCUUCUGGUAGAGCUCCACGUAGUGCUCUUGGGCGAACCCCUCAUCCAUGUAGUUGCUGGUCGCUCCCGAGUCGACCAGGGCCUGGACCGCCACGCUGUGGUAGGGGUUCACCCUCACGAGGAGCAGCAGGAAGAGGUGCUUGCGUUUGAUGCCAGGGUGGAACUCGUUGGGCAGCCAGGUGCUCACGGUCCACCUCUCGGGAACAGGUGAGUCGAGCCAGGUCAGGUGCCGUGGGCGGGCCUCCGGGGCCAGCCUGAGCAUCGCCCUUCUCUCAGCCAGCUUGUCCUCUAUCUGCAGGACCAGCGCAAUCAGGUUUUCCAGCGAAUUCGGCUGCGGGAUGCUGAACAGAUACUGCCUGAUGUCUUCCUUGAGCCCCUGGCACAGGUGGGCCUGGAGGACUUCGUCUGGCCAGCCCAAGGUGGGUACGAGGCUCUGGAACUCGUUGAUGUAUUCGAUGGCGGCGCGGUCCCCCUGCCUGAGGUUGAACAUGGCAUCCUCUGCUACCCGCAGGGCCUGGCGGUACUCAAACGUGUCGUUCAUGGCUUCCAGGAAGGCCGGGAAGUCAUCAAUCAUGGAGCUUUCUUUCUCCACCAGGUCGCUGGCCCAUUCCAUAGCCAUGCCCGAGAGGUGACUGAUGACGUACCCCACUCGCAGGCGGUCGUUGCAGAACACUCUUGGGUAGCUCUGUAAGAUCAGCUGGCAGAGCACGAUGAACUCAUGGUAUUCUCUGCGAUCACCUGAGAAUUGCUUCGGGGUCGGCAGUUGGCCUUUGUUGAUCGCGUUCAUCAGGAUCUCUUCCGCCACUCGCUGCUGCUCUCUGAGGUCUUGCAUCCGGAAAUACAGAGAGAUGAUGGACCUCACCAUGCCCAUGACCUCCACUGUUGAGCUGUCUGGCUCUUCGGGACUCUCGUCUUCCUCCGAUUCAGCCAGGUCAGUGUAGUAGUCUUGGUCUUCCUGGGACUCCCAUGGGUUGUCCUCUUCUUCUUCUUCCAUUCCACCAGGUGCCCCUCCGAAUGGACCCCCCUCUUCCAGAUGACAACCCUCGCAUGACUCCUCCAAGUCUUGGAGUAGGUCAUUGGGUGGAUCCUUUAUUUCCCUAUGUGGGCCACUGGAUGGCUCCUCCAUGUCUUGGCGGAGGUCAAUGGACUGCUCUCCCGUUUCCUGGGCCAGGCCGCCGGCCAGCCCCGCCGCCUCCGCUCUGCCGCCUGGCGGCGUCUCCACGGUGGUUUCGGAUGAGCCCUCGGAGGACUCCAUUUGUUUUGAUGAUGGAUUCUUACGCUCCAUCAUCGUCUCAAAUGAGUCUUCAGAGGGUUCUAUCAUUUCGUCGG